GAUGAACGCUGGCGGCGUGCCAAUACAUGCAAGUCGAGCGAACGGACGAGAAGCUUGCUUCUCUGAUGUUAGCGGCGGACGGGUGAGUAACACGUGGAUAACCUACCUAUAAGACUGGGAUAACUUCGGGAAACCGGAGCUAAUACCGGAUAAUAUUUUGAACCGCAUGGUUCAACAGUGAAAGACGGUCUUGCUGUCACUUAUUGAUGGAUCCGCGCUGCAUUAGCUAGUUGGUAAGGUAACGGCUUACCAAGGCAACGAUGCAUAGCCGACCUGAGAGGGUGAUCGGCCACACUGGAACUGAGACACGGUCCAGACUCCUACGGGAGGCAGCAGUAGGGAAUCUUCCGCAAUGGGCGAAAGCCUGACGGAGCAACGCCGCGUGAGUGAUGAAGGUCUUCGGAUCGUAAAACUCUGUUAUUAGGGAAGAACAUAUGUGUAAUUAACUGUGCACAUCUUGACGGUACCUAAUCAGAAAGCCACGGCUAACUACGUG
Molecule: ribosomal RNA, 496 nt
Filed under: uncultured bacterium
Lineage: Bacteria
Description: partial 16S ribosomal RNA
Rfam family: Bacterial small subunit ribosomal RNA
Source: RNAcentral